RNAcentral lists this ribosomal RNA (497 nucleotides) under uncultured bacterium. RNAcentral's name for it is "partial 16S ribosomal RNA". It matches the Rfam family "Bacterial small subunit ribosomal RNA", at positions 28 to 507 of the family's 1533-position model. The record is from RNAcentral.
GAUGAACGCUGGCGGCGUGCCUAAUACAUGCAAGUCGAGCGAACAGACGAGGAGCUUGCUCCUCUGACGUUAGCGGCGGACGGGUGAGUAACACGUGGAUAACCUACCUAUAAGACUGGGAUAACUUCGGGAAACCGGAGCUAAUACCGGAUAAUAUAUUGAACCGCAUGGUUCAAUAGUGAAAGACGGUUUUGCUGUCACUUAUAGAUGGAUCCGCGCCGCAUUAGCUAGUUGGUAAGGUAACGGCUUACCAAGGCAACGAUGCGUAGCCGACCUGAGAGGGUGAUCGGCCACACUGGAACUGAGACACGGUCCAGACUCCUACGGGAGGCAGCAGUAGGGAAUCUUCCGCAAUGGGAGAAAGCCUGACGGAGCAACGCCGCGUGAGUGAUGAAGGUCUUCGGAUCGUAAAACUCUGUUAUUAGGGAAGAACAAAUGUGUAAGUAACUAUGCACGUCUUGGCGGUACCUAAUCAGAAAGCCACGGCUAACUACGUG